UUCCGGUUGAUCCUGCCGGAGGCCAUUGCUAUCGGAGUCCGAUUUAGCCAUGCUAGUUGCACGGGUUCAGACCCGUAGCAGAUAGCUCAGUAACACGUGGCCAAACUACCCUGUGGACUGGAAUAACCUCGGGAAACUGAGGCUAAUUCCCGAUACAGCUCGCAUGCUGGAGUGCAGCGAGCCGGAAACGCUCCGGCGCCACAGGAUGUGGCUGCGGCCGAUUAGGUAGACGGUGGGGUAACGGCCCACCGUGCCGAUAAUCGGUACGGGUUGUGAGAGCAAGAGCCUGGAGACGGUAUCUGAGACAAGAUACCGGGCCCUACGGGGCGCAGCAGGCGCGAAACCUUUACACUGCACGACAGUGCGAUAGGGGGACUCCGAGUGCGAGGGCAUACAGUCCUCGCUUUUCUGUACCGUAAGGUGGUACAGGAACAAGUGCUGGGCAAGACCGGUGCCAGCCGCCGCGGUAAUACCGGCAGCACGAGUGAUGGCCGAUAUUAUUGGGCCUAAAGCGUCCGUAGCCGGCCGGACAAGUCCGUUGGGAAAUCCACGCGCUCAACGCGUGGGCGUCCAGCGGAAACUGUCCGGCUUGGGGCCGGAGGACUCGAGGGGUACGUCCGGGGUAGGAGUGAAAUCCUGUAAUCCUGGACGGACCACCGGUGGCGAAAGCGCCUCGAGAAGACGGACCCGACGGUGAGGGACGAAAGCUAGGGUCUCGAACCGGAUUAGAUACCCGGGUAGUCCUAGCUGUAAACGAUGCCCGCUAGGUGUGGCGCAGGCUACGAGCCUGCGCUGUGCCGUAGGGAAGCCGAGAAGCGGGCCGCCUGGGAAGUACGUCUGCAAGGAUGAAACUUAAAGGAAUUGGCGGGGGAGCACUACAACCGGAGGAGCCUGCGGUUUAAUUGGAUUCAACGCCGGA
Molecule: ribosomal RNA, 919 nt
Filed under: uncultured archaeon
Lineage: Archaea
Description: bacterial SSU rRNA
Rfam family: Archaeal small subunit ribosomal RNA
Source: RNAcentral